Long non-coding RNA from Xiphias gladius (swordfish), 1470 nucleotides. RefSeq lists it as uncharacterized. NCBI's taxonomy places the organism in Eukaryota, Metazoa, Chordata, Actinopteri, Istiophoriformes, Xiphiidae. The transcript is spliced from 3 exons. The record is from RefSeq and is a predicted model, not a curated record.
CUCUCUCCUGUUACAGGCAGAAGAAGAAACAGAAGCAUCAGUUAAAAAUUGGUAACGGUGUUGAGUUAAAAACGGACACAUUUGGAACAUAACAGGUGAUGUAGAUCAAGGGGUACAGAGUUCAUCUGACAGGCCUGCUGGGAGAAGCUGGACCAGAAAAAGACCGGGGACCACUGCUGUAGGCUGUAGGAUACUGUUUCCUUGUAAACAUCACCUGCUGCCGGUUCCCUCUUCGGCAACGCACUGAGUUCUUUGAGCCUCCCCAGCCUCUCUGUUGCCCUGUGACUCAACUCCUGCUCCCGUAUUAUCUCCAUUAUCUGCAUUACAACCUUCCCCAACCUCUGCCUGAGCUCCUCCAACAGUGCAGGAGACAAGGCCUACUGUCCACGAUGCACCUGAAACAUGGAGCCCCAUCUAGUGAAAGAGAAGAGAGUGGGGGACGAGGAGUUGAUCAGUCCUGCCAGCAGGGUCUCACUGGAGGAUAAAUCCAGUGACAUAGGAGGCAUGGACUGUAAGGACUCCAACUGGAGCAUAGAGGACUCAUGGUGGUUCUGAGGUAGGAUGUCUCCCAGUAACCGCUUCAGCUCACAGAGGAAAGAGAAGGUCUGUGAAGGGGCCAGGGAUGAUCCUGACACAUGUCUAUAUCUGACAAAGAGUAAAAAACCAACGUUGAGCAGCACUCUGACAAUAAUCUGGGAAAAUUUUUAGCCGGGAACAUUAAAGCUUAAAAAAACCUUUUAUUAGUUUCUGUUCCCCCAAAGAAAAGCAGAAGUGGAGUUAUGCUGAUGUUACUUCCUGAUUUUCCACCAAUGAGGAUGUCUUUUAGGCUCGGUUCUACAAUGAGAGGAAAUUUGAGGAGAGUGCACAUGAUACAAGAAAACGAAAACAAGAAAAGAUGGGAUCUUACUCAUAUCUGGGGAUACUGUCUCAACAGAAAGCUUCCAUUUCUGGUGAACAUUGGCCUCUGAUGUCUUUCCUGUCAGUAGCCUUCCUCUACCUGUGUGUUAGGCUGCAGAGACCGACUAAUGAAAGUGACGUCCAGGUGUCCUCCUUUGAGUGGACUUUCAAUCGCCAAGAGCAGCACGGGGCUGAGCCCAGGACACGGCGGUGGAUCAAAGGACAGUGACUGCAGGAUCUCCAGAGAUGAGGAAGGCCUGCUUGUCCUUCUCCUUCUCUUCCUCCUCCUCAACAAGAUGAUUCAAGUGAUGGAAGUGGAAUGGAUAUCCUAGAACAUAAUCUAUUUAAUUCAGAAGUUUAUACACAGUUGUUUUGUAAUUUCUUUUGUCAAGUAUUUGGCAGAUAAUUCGGGAGAUGUUCAUUGUUUUUAAACAAAGUCAUCAUUAGUUUUAAAUCAACAUUGUUCUUACCCUAUCAUUCAUUGUCUCCCUGCGUUGCAUGAAUGAUCAGUGUCAAAUUGUAACUUUUACCAUUACAUAUGCAAGAUAAAGUAACUUCACAACUAAGCGUCAA